UACGUAGGGUGCAAGCGUUGUCCGGAAUUAUUGGGCGUAAAGAGCUCGUAGGCGGUUUGUCGCGUCUGCUGUGAAAACGCGAGGCUCAACCUCGCGCCUGCAGUGGGUACGGGCAGACUAGAGUGUGGUAGGGGAGAUUGGAAUUCCUGGUGUAGCGGUGGAAUGCGCAGAUAUCAGGAGGAACACCAAUAGCGAAGGCAGCUCGCUGGGACGUUACUGACACUGAGGCGCGAAAGCGUGGGGAGCGAACAGG
Molecule: ribosomal RNA, 253 nt
Filed under: uncultured bacterium
Lineage: Bacteria
Description: partial 16S ribosomal RNA
Rfam family: Bacterial small subunit ribosomal RNA
Source: RNAcentral